Molecule: long non-coding RNA, 313 nt
Organism: Xenopus laevis (African clawed frog)
Lineage: Eukaryota; Metazoa; Chordata; Amphibia; Anura; Pipidae
Exons: 3
Source: RefSeq, a predicted model, not a curated record
UGACUCCCUCCAAUGCCUUGGGAUUAUUGACCUAGCCGCGUCCAGCAAAUGUAAGAAAAUCACUGAUUCUUGUUGGUCUCCCCUCAAGUGCUUGCCAAUCCUUGAAGGCUCCAUACUCUAAACUGGGUAUAAACCCAGCCUGAUCAUCAUGAAUUAAAUCCGGUAAGUAUUUUUUCAAUCUGUUUGCUAUUAUUUUAGCGUAUAUUUUUAGAUCUAUGUUUAUUAGGGAUAUUGGCCUAUAGCUUUCACAGAGCUGGGGAUCUUUCCCCUCUUUUGGGAUAAUAGUAAUGUUAGCUUCUUUUGCCUGUUUAUG